This 428-nucleotide ribosomal RNA is filed under the name uncultured eukaryote. RNAcentral describes it as "partial 18S ribosomal RNA". It matches the Rfam family "Eukaryotic small subunit ribosomal RNA", at positions 463 to 837 of the family's 1831-position model. The record is from RNAcentral.
GGUAGUGACAAGAAAUACCAAUAUAGGACCCAACGGGUACUAUGUUUGGAAUGAGUACAAUUUAAAAACCUUAACGAGGAACAAUUGGAGGGCAAGUCUGGUGCCAGCAGCCGCGGUAAUUCCAGCUCCAAUAGUGUAUAUUAAAGUUGCUGCGGUUAAAAAGCUCGUAGUUGGAUUUCGGAGUUGUUAUCUGAACCUUCUCGCCAUAAAAAGUGGGGGGGCUAAGGUAGCAGUAGUUUUCAUCAUAGUCCACCAGGAUACUCUCUUGGUGUGUACUGGGUGUUAACCUCCUUUUUUCUUGGUACUUGCUAUCCAGCAAUGGGUAGUUUUGUCCAGAUAGUUUACUUUGUAAAAAUUAGAGUGUUCAAAGCAGCCUGUAUGGGCAUUGAAUAGAUUAGCAUGGGAUAAUAGAAUAGGAUUCUUACCUA